This 442-nucleotide ribosomal RNA is filed under the name uncultured bacterium. Its description in RNAcentral is "partial 16S ribosomal RNA". It matches the Rfam family "Bacterial small subunit ribosomal RNA", at positions 338 to 795 of the family's 1533-position model. The record is from RNAcentral.
CCUACGGGUGGCUGCAGUGGGGACUAUUGGGCAAUGGGCGCAAGCCUGACCCAGCAAUGCCGCGUGAAUGAAGAAGGCUUUCGGGUUGUAAACUUCUUUGACAGGGGAAGAGGAGAAGACGGUACCCUGAAAACAAGCCACGGCUAACUACGGGCCAGCAGCCGCGGUAAUACGUAGGUGGCAAGCCUUGUCCGGAUUUACUGGGGGUAAAGGGCUGGUAGCCGGGAGGGCAAGUCAGAUGUGAAAUCUGGAGGCUCAACCUUCAAAUUGCAUUUGAAAAUGUUGUUCGUGAGUACUGGAGAGGCAGACGGAAUUCCUUGUGUAGCGGUGGAAUGCGUAGAUAUAAGGAGGAACACCAGUGGCGAAGGCGGUCUGCUGGACAGCAACUGACGGUGAGGCGCGAAAGCGUGGGGAGCAAACAGGAUUAGAUACCCGAGUAGUC